Molecule: long non-coding RNA, 395 nt
Filed under: Cyanistes caeruleus (blue tit)
Lineage: Eukaryota; Metazoa; Chordata; Aves; Passeriformes; Paridae
Description: lncRNA (ENSCCEG00000020296.1)
Source: RNAcentral
AAAGCCUUGGAAAAUCUGGUGUGGGGGAAAUAAACCUUAACAAAAAUAGAACAACCAUCAUUCUGAGGUAUAAUUUACCUGCAUUAAGGAGGUAAUAUGUAUCAUGCCUUGCUUUAAGUAAACUUUCUGGAUGUAUGGAGAUUAGAUCCAGCAGCAAUUAAACCAUUGCCUCUGGAACACUGCACAUCUUCAGGUGUGUUACAAAGGCUACUGUGGUGAAGAAGCAAACUGUAACAUGAAUGCCAGGACUGUCUGCAGCACCAUCUCUUGCUAGCAAUGUGGCAAGAGCUUCACAAAUAGAAGUGUGAUUCUUUGAGCCCUUACAACAUCCAAAUAUAGAAUAUGUAAGUAUAUAGAUAUACUAAAUAUAGAAUAUGUAAGAUGUAAGUACUCUC